AUUCCAAAUCCUAUGAACUCCUAGAACAUUUCUAAGUGUGGACUAAUUAGAGGCAUCACAAUUGGGGUGCUUAAAGGAUCUCAGAUCGUGGCAAAACAGAAGCUGUUCGUGCAGAGCUCUAUUUUCUGGACAGUGUUCGUAGCUUGCUGUUUUCAGUCAUUUGCUCCUACUUCACCAAGUCGUUUUUGAAACUACAAGUGAGGUAAUUAAACUUCAAUCUUUCCUCUUGAUUUUCAUUUUUGAAUGAAGCUGAUCCGAGGUUUCUAGAGCUUCCGCCGUCCGUUUUAAUUUUACUGCACAAAAGUUGCGAUUUUAGGAACCUCAUGGACAAAUGUUGUCCUUCAACAAGUGCAUGUGACCAAUGAGUUUUUGCAUUCUUAAGCAAAGCCAUGUAUAUUACUGAAUUUGCUGUUGGCUACUCUGGAUAUGUAGGUGUCAUGACCCAGCCUAGACCUGAUAAGAUAUUGUUCGUUUUGGUCCUUAAUAAGACCCGCACAGUUUUGUCUAGGGCGCCCAUACACCCCAAAACGUGUCUUGCUAAUUAAGGUGUGGAUCACCCCUUAUAAACCCAGCAUUUCUCCCGUGCUUUGCCAAUGCGGGAUUUGCCUAGGGUGUUAUAUACACCUCAUUUAGGGACUCAGCGUCCUCGUUGAAGUUUGCCCCACCAUCGUUCAAGAGGACAUGCAGAGCCGCUCUGAUACCAUCUGUCAUGACCGAACUCAGACCUGACAAGAUAUAAUCCGCUUUGUCAAUUCCUUUUGUUCCUUUGGUCUCUUGUGGCUCGAGCUUCAAGAAUAUCCUUCUCAGCAAGAAUGGCUCGAUCCACCAAAUCAGCAUAAUUAUUAAGCUUAAGGAUAGUCAACCUCCCAUUGAUGUUUGUAUGUAAUCUCUUUAGGAACUUCCUACACUUGCUACCCUCAUUAGCAACCAAAGUAGGAGCAAAACGAGAUAGGACUGUAAAUUGUUCCUUGUACUCAGUGACAGACUUCAUUCCCUGAGUUAAUUUUAGAAAGUUGGCCUCCAUUUAAUGCCAAACCUAUUCAGGAAAAUACUUUUCCUGAAUAGCUCCAAAAACAACUCCUAAGUGAUAGGCGCAUCUCUUAACCCAGCCCUUAAAAAACGGGCUUUAGCAUUCCACCAGUGGUUUGCCUCACCCUGAAGGACAAAUGAGGCCAAAAUCACCUUACGAUCAUCAUUGCAUCCCAGAGCCACAAAUAUCUUCUCCAUCUAUUUUAGCUAUGCCUCUGCGACCAUAGGAUCGGCAGUUCCUUGAAAGAUAGGACAUUCUUAAAUCACUCUAGGUUUACCAUAACUCCUUGGUCUCUUUCACAAUGUUGCCUUACAGCUGGCACAUUCCCUUCUGUCCCACCUCUGCCUCCAACCAUAUUAUGAAUCAGCUUGCUCUGUUGUUCCAUUAACCCAAACAUUGCGCCCAUCAUAGGAUUACAUUCAUUAGCCAUCUCACGUAAGCUUGGGUCCAUGUCAACAGCGACACCUGAAGCAUUUCUCGAGCUAUAGGCAUUCUUAGUACCUCCCUUACGUGACAUCUUCAACUAAAUCACAAGGUAUAAUACUAGACAAUAAGUAACUUAGACGAAAGAAUUAUGUCCUUAAAAAGGACAUACCAAUGAGCAAAGUACUAAAUAAGUAGGAAGGAAAAAAAAUUGAGAUUGACAACAAGAGCAGACAAAUAUUUCAUUCUACGUUAAUAUAAAAAAUCCUAUAUCAAGAAGUUAUUACAAAGUCAUAAGCAACCAGAAAAAAAAAAAUAGCAUUACUAAUUGUUAAACGAUUACUCCUUGUCUUAAAGAUCUAUUCUCUCCAUUAACCUCAAUAAAGUCUAUAGAGUCUCAUGCCUUCUUUCUACAACCACAAAGUUUAUAGGUUUACUCAACUGGAUAGGGAAAUGAUCUAAUUCAACUUUUUUUUUCCUCACUCGUUACUCUAGUUGUCUUAUUUUCCUUAAGAGUUUUAUGAGAUAGUUUUAUCUCGGCAUGGAGAAACCCAUCUUUUGUUAUAGUAAGGCUUAAAUUAAGGUCUUGUCCAAAAUAGGCGACGUACUACACGCUUAUUCUUGUUAGCUCCCUUGCCAUAAACACGUAGUUCUCGUAUAGCCUCAUUGAAUUUCUUAUUUAAAGCUCUUGGUCUUGGAGAAGUAUCUAUGUAAACAAUUCUAGCCCGUCCUAGUCCUAGUCUAUCAUCCAUUCACUGCUUAUGAAGUCUUCUAAGAUCUUUGACAAGAACUCCACCUAAGAUAAACUGUUCAAUCCUGUUAAUUUCUGUCCAUCUCUUAUUCCUAGCACUUUUCAUAUCCAUAAUGUUUCUCUUCAUGUCUACAAAACAAAUGUAGUUAACUCUAUUAGACAAUCUAAUUAGACCUUAAAAUGAAGUCUACAGAAUCCUAACCUAGGCUUUGAUACCAUCUGUCAUGACCCAAACCAGACUUGGUAAGAUAUCAUAACCUAUACAUUCCAAAAUGCGUCUUGCCAAUUAAAGUGUGGAUCACCCCUUAUAAACCCAACAUCUCUCCUCUGCUUUACCGAUGUGGGAUUUUCCUAGGGUGUUACAAUAGAUCCCAGACAUAUCAGUUUCCUACCAACUGGUAUAUGAACGCUAAUUUUGGUUUCAGUUUAGUUUUCUCAAUAUGUAGGCUCACCUCCGUUCACAAUGUUCCUACCAAUGUUUAUAUAUUAUGGAUCGGGUUUCUCUCACGAUCUAAACUCCUUCGAAAAAACAUUCAUGUGGGUGAUUUAUAGUUAAUAAAUAAAAAAAGAAGUUAAAUUCUAUUUUUUAUCACUAAAAGACACAUGACACAUGAUCUUUGAAAUUAAGCUCAAAAGAACUCACAUCAGGAGAGGGUUCGAUGGAGUCCUAGCAAUAGCAAAGACUACUCUUAAUUUCCCUCCCAUUGUUGGACAUCUGAUGAUAAAGAUAUCAGUAACGUUAAAAAAUAACAAAUGCGGCUAUCUCCAUUUUUCAGGGCAGAACUGAUCAGUACAAUACGCAUGAGUGUUUAAGUAGCUGCUUUAUGAUCCGAGAAUUCAUGAAGAAUCACAAUGCUUAUACGUACUUCUCUUUUUUUUUUUUUGGUCUGAACCACAACCCAGAUUAAUUCCCGCUGCAUCGGGUCGGCCCGUAAAGGGUAAAGUGUUGGCCAAAGUGGUGACUCCAUACGAGAGUAGGGCUUCAACCCUUAACAUUUCUUAAGGAGUGAGAGUGCCGAACCACUCACACUAACCAACUUUAGUUAUAGGUACUUCUCUCUUUCUUAUCGUGAUUACAUGCAACUUUGCAACUAUUGGUUGAGUCUUCGACUUGCCAAUGAACCUAUAUAUCCAUGUGGGCUAGAGAGUAAAAUAAUAAACUCCCAAAUAUAUAAAUUAGUUAAUUCCAGAUAACAGAGAUUGAAUGAUCAGUCUGACAGCCGCAUCUAAUAUAUACACGUGCAUGUGAUGUUAUUGCCUAGAAAAAUGGCAAUGGCUGCAACUUCUAUUCGCGGCAAAAAUCAAUGCGUUUCCCAGUUAAGAGAGACUUUGGUCUUGUUUAAGUUAUAAUAGUGUUUGGUAAAUAUUAAUUGUUGUGCUUUGAAAGUUAAGUUGUUUUGAUCUCACACUUACAUGAGAAAUACCUAUAAUAUUUUUAGUAUUUUAAUCUUAAUUACUAUUCAAUAGCAUAUAUUCUAUACAAUCAACUUUUAUUUUAUAGUUAUAAUUUUUUUCUACAUCAGCAAUGGUUUAAAAUUGUAGCACCUUAAUACUAACUGGACUUUAGCUUGCAAGAGAGGAAAAUGACCGUGACACUUUAUGGAUUGGUUGAGUAGUUUAGUUGACUUGCUUAACAGGGUGGAGGAAGAGUUUGGCUUCAAUCAUCCAAUCAGAUGUCUCAAAAUUGCAUGCAAGAAGUUGAUUUCAUUGAUCUCACUUCCAGGUUACAUUAAUUAUCCCUGAACACAAUAUUUAUCAAUCCUCGACAAUUUUGGCAACUAGCAAUUAGCUAUUUUCUCCUUUUUUUAAUUUGUGCGUAGAUAAUUUUCCUACUUGUGCUUAAAUUUAAUGAUUAGCGUAUUAGGAAGUAAUUAGUGACAUUCUCUUGUGCGAUACGUAUAUUUAAAACAAUGUACCGCUAAAUUUUAUCUCAUAUAUAUUCUUUCUUAUGCAAUAACUAGCAAUCACAAUUUUGUAAAAACACGAGCACAGUGCCGAUGCAACACUAAUUCCAAAUCCCCAAAUUAGGUGCCAUUUCUUUUCUUAAUUAGUGUAUUUAUGUAGUUAAUUAACUCUCUUGUACAGUAUUACAGCAGAGGUUUGCUAAAUAAAUUAUUUAAAAAAUACUGUUACUGAUUUUCUUCAAUAAGUCUAAAGGAAAUAUUUCAACUGAGAGAUUACAUCUUGGUUGUUUAAAUGCAUACUGUUACAAGUAUAGUAACAGAGUUUAUUCUUCUAUAUCACACAAGUCACUUUCCCUUUACAUGCUCUUUCAGUUUGAAAAUGAAAGAUGAUAUGUACAUAUUUAAGAGUAUGCAAAAAACAGUAGUAAGUCUAUUAAACUAACAAAUACAUACAAGAAAACAACACAUUUGUUGAGUAAUUGUGGGCUUCUCGUUCAUUCUUGAGAUUGCGGAUACAAAUUUUCUCGCGUACAUUAUAUAUGAAAGUUGAAUUAUCAUUUAAUUUCAAAUAUUUGAGAAUAGGUAGAUUGAUCACCUCGUUCUAAAUCCAGAUAUGUAUAUCGAGAGUCCAGACUGUGCCAUUAUUGUACAAUUUUAUAAUCCAGUGCUCAGAAGAAUAUUGGUCGUGUUUUGUACUUCCCACAAGUAAUUAUACUAUCUAAACACACAGGUAAUCUUCAUUCGUUCUCAGACUGUGCUGACACAUUGGAACUUGAAUUUGUAUUAAGUAUCAAUAUUAACUACAAGCGACUACAUAUGGUAGCGGCCAGUCCAAAUUGCAAUUUCCAAUUAUCUGGCCAACCUUGAAAAUAGUGGCCGCAAAGCUGAUAUCUCAUCUAGUCAUCUUCCAUCAAAUUCUGCAUUUAUUGCAUCAAGAUAAGCAUCACAUGGACAUGGAUUUCAUGUUACUCUUCAUUUUCAGAUGUUUGCCAUUAGUUUUUGAGGCACCAAUUGCGGCAUGCAACAAGGGUGGUUUGAAUUUCAUGAACCAUGGCUUUAAAAUAGUUUUUUUUUAUUUUUUUUAUAAAUAUUGGUUAAAUACGAGAGAGUAUUGAUGACAUCAAUGUUAAGCUAACUGAGCAAAGCCAUGUGACCUUUUUCGUAUAAUAGUGGGAAGUCUGCUGAUUUUAGAAAAAAGAGAGGAGAGGAGAGGAGAGGAAAAAAAAAAAGAAAUAAAAGAGAUGAUUUUUUAUCAAAUUAAAUAGUUAAACUGUGAUUGAUCCUCUUUUUUCUUUAUUUUAUUGGAUUAGUAUGCUAGCUAGCUAAAAAUUCAAAACCCCUUUCUUGGUAACACACUAUAAAUAUAAUACGUAAUAAACCUUCAAUCUCCAACUCUUCUUCACUUUGCUCAAAUUUUUGAAAUGCUGCAUGCAACACCGUCCAUUCCGAGGUUCAUUUCAAAACAUCCUUGAUCACUUUUUCACUUCGAAAUUCAUCAUCAGUACUUAAAUUCCUUAGGAAUUGCUUUCUUUGACAAGCAGAGCACAAAAGACCAGAAACUUGUAUUGAAAAUAAAACUUGAAUUGAAAUGUUUGUUUACAGACCAUCGUCUAUUUAUACAUAAGGAAACAAAAGUGACAGCUAGCUAAAAAUAACAAAUUCAGAUUAAACAAAAUAAUCCAGCAAUCAUUAGCCAAUGAUAUGAUGCUUCUAGAAUCUUCAUCCAUUUAUUCCAUGUACUGGUAUUUCUCUGUGUAGCAAUUUUGCCACCUCAUUGAAUUUGCAUCAGCUGGUAAAUAGGUGUAGCUUAGGUGGCAUGCCAAUGUGUCACUGAGCUCAGCUGAUGACUUGUCAAGGUCAUGGCUGCUAUCUUCAACACCCUCUCUCAAACACAAGGUUUUGUCAAACACCUUGAGUUUGCUUCUGAAACAGCUGAAUUUAUAGUAAGGUAAUGGCUUGGUUAGAACAUAAGCUAUUUGGUCUCUGCCUGCAACAAAACUGAUUUCCAACUCUCCUCUAGCUACCAUGUCUCUGAUAAAGUGUAGAUCUAUCUCGAAAUGCUUAGUUUUGGAGUGAAAUACAGGAUUAGUUGCUAUUGCAGCUGCACUUGUGCUAUCACUUAGGAUUGUUGGUGUUCUUUGUAUUUCUAUUUUCAGCUCACUUAGCAGAGAACCAAUCCAUGUGAGUUCUGUAGUGCAAAGAGCCAUUGCUCUGUAUUCUGAUUCAGCCGUAGAUCUAGCAACUAAGCCUUGCUUUCUUGAACUCCAAGCAAUGAGAUUUCCACCCAAGAAUACACAAUAACCACUGAUAGAUCUCCUGUCAUCCAAGUCAUUUGCCCAAUCUGCAUUCGUGUAGGCUAUUAGAUCAAAGUACUCUGAUCUUUUGAAUUUCAGACACAUGUUCAUGGUGCUUUUGAGAUACCUCAACACUCUUUUGCAUGUUAUCCAGUGAGGUUGCCUAGGAUCAGACAUGUAUUGGCUAAGCUUGUUCACUAAAUAAGCAAGCUCAGGUCUUGUGAGUAUUGCAUACUGCAGGCUACCUAUAACACUUCGAUACAAUGUGGGAUCAUAAAAUUUUCUCCUUCAUUUUUCUUUAGUUUCUCUGUAGUACUGAAAGGUGACUCAAUUCCUUUACAGUCACUCAUCUCUGUUCUGGCAAGCAGAUCUUGUAUGUACUUGGUCUGAGAUAACAGAAUGGCAUUUUGGUUUCUGUUCACCUGAAUCCCCAGAAAGAAGUUCAGCUCCCCCAAGUCUUUUAAGGCAAAUGCUCCAUUUAAAUUACUGACCAGCUCUUCAAUACUGCCACUAUUGUCACCUGUAAUGAUGAUGUCGUCAACAUAAAUCAGCAGUAUAACUAUCUCAGAUUUUGUUCUUCUGUAGAAUAGUGAGGUAUCACACUUGGAGUUUUCAAAUCCCCAAGAGUUCAAAGCACCCUUUAGUUUGUCAAACCAUGCCCUGGGAGCUUGUCUCAAACCAUACAAUGCUUUCUUUAAUCUGCAUAUGUGAUUAGGCUUACUUUUGUCCACAAAACCUUCAGGCUAUGGCAUGUAAACCAUUUCUGUCAGCUCACCAUUCAAGAAGGCAUUAUUUAUGUCUACCUGCCUCAAACUCUAGUCAUUAUUUACUGCCAAUGUGAGGAUGACUCUGAUUGUUGCAGCCUUAACAACAGGGCUAAAAGUUUCUGUAAAAUCAAUGCCUUGAAUCUGCAAAAAUCCCUUCACCACUAGUCUGGCCUUAUAUUUGUUUAUGGUUCCAUUUGGAUUCUCUUUGACUCUGUACACCCAUUUAUUUCCAAUCAACUUGCAACUUGAGUCACUUGGUACCUAGGUCCAUGUUUCAUUUUUCAACAAGGCAUUGUAUUCAUCUUCCAUUGCCUUUUUCCAGUUUGGUUCUUUUAAGGCUUCUGAGGUGUUUAAGGGUAAUGCAGUCUGUGGUUGAGUAGAAACUUGGUAUAAUUUUGGUUUAAAGAUCCCUGCCUUAGAUCUUGUUACCAUAUGAUGUGAUGGUAUGGCUUCUUUUGUGUUUGGAGCUAUGAUAGAGGAUGAAGGUUGGUCAUUUUCUUGAGGCUGGUGAUUUGUAUAAGGAGAAGACAUUUGAUUAUUUGACAUCAUAUCAGUGCUCAAGUUCUGUUGUGUCUUACCUUGGUCAAGGUUCUGGAAUUGUUCUGAAGCUUUAGGAGUUUCCAGAGAGUGGCCUUGAUCAACUGUUGUCUGAGUGUUUUGAGGAGUAUCAAGAGAGAAUGACACGACCUAAAAUUUUUCUAAGAGAGUAAUGAAAUCACUUUGACUUGUGGACUCUUGUCUACUGAACUUGGUAUCAUUAGAGAAAGGAAAUGAGCUUUCAUUGAAUCUGACACUUGCAGAGAUAUAUAUUCUACCUGAGUGAUGCAUGCAAACAUAUCCUUUGUGAGUUAUGCUUAUUCCUAGCAAUGUGCAUUUGACAGUAUGGAAAUCAAGCUUGUGUUUGUUAUAUGGCCUAAAAAAUGGAUAACAUUCACAUCUAAAUACUCUGAUUUGUGAGUAAUUUGGUUUGCAAUGGUAAAGCAAUUCAAAGGGGGUUUUAUUUCCAAUAACAGGUGAUGCUAAUCUGUUGAUAAUGUAGGUAGCAUAAGUGAAAGCUUCUUGCCAGAAUUUUAAUGGCAUUUUAGCUUAUGCCAGCAAUGUGAGUCCAGUUUCUACCACAUGUCUGUGUUUUCUCUCAACCUUACCAUUUUGUUCAUGUAGAUAUGGACAUGAUUGUCUCAAUGCUAUGCCCUCCUUGUCAAGAAAAGCUUUGAAUGGUUUAAAUUCUCCUCCCAUGUUUGUCUGUAAUGCUUUAAUUCUCAGAUUCAAUUAGUUUUCAAUUUGGCUUUUAAAGGUGAUGAAUGUAUUGAGAGCUUGGGAUUUUGUUGUCAAGGGAAACAGGCAGGUGUAUCUUGUCAUGUCAUCCAUAAAAGAUAUGUAAUAUCUAUGUCCAUGACUUGAGGGAAUUGGUGCUGGUCCCCAUAAGUCAGCAUGAAUCAAUUCUAAGGCCUUGCUGGUUUUAGUUUCUGUGCUUUUAAAGUUUUGUUUAGAUUGUUUUCCAUACUGACAUGCACAACAAAAUGAAGGAACAGAAUUCUUGUUUAAUUUGAACUGAUUACAAGACAACAAGGUGCUUUUUAGAGCAGAUUCAUUUGGGUGCCCUAGUCUGAGAUGCCAGAGAUCAAUGUCUUUCAAAACAUCAUUGCUUGAUCUAUCAGUUUCAGAGGACUCAACACAAACGUUUGCUAACUUGACACUACUCAAAUUAAAAGACAACAUAGACACUGGAUUGCUGAUGCAAUUUAUUGACUCAGGCAUGAAGGAAGAAGAUAAGACAGCAGCAUAAGGAGUUUUGUUCCCACUCAGGUGAGUAGGUAAGCACAGUGUUGAGUGUUAGAAAAUGUAUAGUUAUAAAGGAGAAAACCAUCAUUUUACAUUUUAAGUCUUACUAACAACUCUUACUUUUAUGUAUUUAACCUUCUUGUGAUGUAAUUACGCGUGUGUUAUUUUAAUUAAGUAUUUUAUGUAUUUUAGGGGCAUUAUAGUCAUUUCACAAUAAAGGAGAGAUCAGACGGCAAAACGGACAUCACUUUUGAACUCAGGACGGUCGAAAA
Molecule: long non-coding RNA, 9223 nt
Filed under: Citrus maxima (pomelo)
Lineage: Eukaryota; Viridiplantae; Streptophyta; Magnoliopsida; Sapindales; Rutaceae
Description: long non-coding RNA (CMAX_LNC004169)
Source: RNAcentral